This 253-nucleotide ribosomal RNA is filed under the name uncultured prokaryote. Its description in RNAcentral is "partial 16S ribosomal RNA". It matches the Rfam family "Bacterial small subunit ribosomal RNA", at positions 524 to 776 of the family's 1533-position model. The record is from RNAcentral.
UACGUAGGUGGCAAGCGUUAUCCGGAAUUACUGGGUGUAAAGGGAGCGUAGGCGGGUAUGCAAGUCAGAUGUGAAAACUUGGGGCUUAACCCCAAGACUGCAUUUGAAACUGUAUAUCUUGAGUGCGGGAGAGGUAAAUGGAAUUCCUAGUGUAGCGGUGAAAUGCGUAGAUAUUAGGAGGAACACCAGUGGCGAAGGCGAUUUACUGGACCGUAACUGACGCUGAGGCUCGAAAGCGUGGGGAGCAAACAGG